CAUUAGAUGGCUGAAAGUAUAAGCAAUGGAAUUUUAAACCAUACCAUGGUAACUCACGACUACUUCUAAUGA
This 72-nucleotide transfer RNA is filed under the name Cryptocephalus aureolus. RNAcentral's name for it is "tRNA-Lys". The record is from RNAcentral. Lineage: Eukaryota; Metazoa; Arthropoda; Insecta; Coleoptera; Chrysomelidae.